Molecule: ribosomal RNA, 524 nt
Filed under: uncultured bacterium
Lineage: Bacteria
Description: bacterial SSU rRNA
Rfam family: Bacterial small subunit ribosomal RNA
Source: RNAcentral
AGAGUUUGAUCCUGGCUCAGGAUGAACGCUAGCGGCAGGCCUAACACAUGCAAGUCGAGGGGCAGCACGGUGUAGCAAUACACUGGUGGCGACCGGCGUACGGGUGCGUAACGCGUAUGCAACCUACCCAUAACAGGGGGAUAACACUGAGAAAUUGGUACUAAUACCCCAUAACAUCAGGACCGGCAUCGGUUCUGGUUGAAAACUCCGGUGGUUAUGGAUGGGCAUGCGUUGUAUUAGCUGGUUGGUGAGGUAACGGCUCACCAAGGCAACGAUACAUAGGGGGACUGAGAGGUUAACCCCCCACAUUGGUACGGAGACACGGACCAAACUCCUACGGGAGGCAGCAGUGAGGAAUAUUGGUCAAUGGACGCAAGUCUGAACCAGCCAUGCCGCGUGCAGGAAGACGGCUCUAUGAGUUGUAAACUGCUUUUGUACGAGGGUAAACGCUCUUACGUGUAAGAGCCUGAAAGUAUCGUACGAAUAAGGAUCGGCUAACUCCGUGCCAGCCGCCGCGGUAAUUC